AUGAACGCUGGCGGCGUGCCUAAUACAUGCAAGUCGAGCGAACAGACGAGGAGCUUGCUCCUCUGACGUUAGCGGCGGACGGGUGAGUAACACGUGGAUAACCUACCUAUAAGACUGGGAUAACUUCGGGAAACCGGAGCUAAUACCGGAUAACAUGUUGAACCGCCUGGUUCAACAGUGAAAGACGGUUUUGCUGUCACUUAUAGAUGGAUCCGCGUCGCAUUAGCUAGUUGGUAAGGUAACGGCUUACCAAGGCAACGAUGCGUAGCCGACCUGAGAGGGUGAUCGGCCACACUGGAACUGAGACACGGUCCAGACUCCUACGGGAGGCAGCAGUAGGGAAUCUUCCGCAAUGGGCGAAAGCCUGACGGAGCAACGCCGCGUGAGUGAAGAAGGUCUUCGGAUCGUAAAACUCUGUUAUUAGGGAAGAACAAAUGUGUAAGUAACUAUGCACGUCUUGACGGUACCUAAUCAGAAAGCCACGGCUAACUACGUG
This 496-nucleotide ribosomal RNA is filed under the name uncultured bacterium. RNAcentral's name for it is "partial 16S ribosomal RNA". It matches the Rfam family "Bacterial small subunit ribosomal RNA", at positions 29 to 507 of the family's 1533-position model. The record is from RNAcentral.